Molecule: long non-coding RNA, 235 nt
Organism: Cydia splendana
Lineage: Eukaryota; Metazoa; Arthropoda; Insecta; Lepidoptera; Tortricidae
Exons: 2
Source: RefSeq, a predicted model, not a curated record
AAGUCCAGCUCUAAUAACCGUGCAGUGUCUUGAGUGGCUCCCCCCACCCCCACUCCUCGCCUCGCCGUGGAACUCCUAAGACAGGCCACAGCCCAAGACUCCAGUUCACAAGCCGAUGGGCGUCCUUUGAGCUCCGAGACCACUAAAUCAGCACCUGACGUCAUACAGAUCUACUGAAACAUUGUUUUACCUCGAUAAUUGUAAACUUGAUUUAAUAAAAGGUUCGUGUUAUUCA